GUGCAGCAGUCGAGAAACCUCCCCCAAUGCCCGAAAGGGUGAGGGGGUCACCCCGAGUGCCACCCUCGUGGUGGCUUUUGCGGGGUCUAAAAAGCCCCGCGAAUAAGGGGAGGGCAAGACGGGUGUCAGCCGCCGCGGUAAUACCCGCUCCCCGAGUGGUGGGGACUAUUACUGGGCUUAAAAGCGUCCGUAGCCGGCUGGGUGUGUCCCCCGUUAAAUCCACGGGCCUAACCCGUGGGCUGCGGGGGAUACUACCUGGCUUGGGGGUGGGAGAGGGCGGCGGUAUUCCCGGGGUAGGGGUAAAAUCCUCUGAUCCCGGGAGGACCACCAGUGGCGAAGGCGGCCGCCCAGAACACGCCCGACGGUGAGGGACGAAAGCUGGGGGA
RNAcentral lists this ribosomal RNA (386 nucleotides) under uncultured microorganism. RNAcentral describes it as "bacterial SSU rRNA". It matches the Rfam family "Archaeal small subunit ribosomal RNA", at positions 330 to 718 of the family's 1478-position model. The record is from RNAcentral.